Molecule: ribosomal RNA, 425 nt
Filed under: uncultured bacterium
Lineage: Bacteria
Description: partial 16S ribosomal RNA
Rfam family: Bacterial small subunit ribosomal RNA
Source: RNAcentral
GUGGGGAAUAUUGGACAAUGGGCGAAACCCUGAUCUAGCCAUGCCGCGUGAGCGAUGAAGGCCUUAGGGUUGUAAAGCUCUUUCAGCUGGGAAGAUAAUGACGGUACCAGCAGAAGAAGCCCCGGCUAACUCCGUGCCAGCAGCCGCGGUAAUACGGAGGGGGCUAGCGUUGUUCGGAAUUACUGGGCGUAAAGCGCACGUAGGCGGAUCAGAAAGUCAGAGGUGAAAUCCCAGGGCUCAACCUUGGAACUGCCUUUGAAACUCCUGGUCUUGAGGUCGAGAGAGGUGAGUGGAAGUCCGAGUGUAGAGGUGAAAUUCGUAGAUAUUCGGAGGAACACCAGUGGCGAAGGCGGCUCACUGGCUCGAUACUGACGCUGAGGUGCGAAAGCGUGGGGAGCAAACAGGAUUAGAAACCCCAGUAGUCC